UACGUAGGGCGCAAGCGUUAUCCUGAAUUAUUGGGCGUAAAGAGCUCGUAGGCGGUUUGUCGCGUCUGCCGUGAAAGUCCGGGGCUCAACUCCGGAUCUGCGGUGGGUACGGGCAGACUAGAGUGAUGUAGGGGAGACUGGAAUUCCUGGUGUAGCGGUGAAAUGCGCAGAUAUCAGGAGGAACACCGAUGGCGAAGGCAGGUCUCUGGGCAUUAACUGACGCUGAGGAGCGAAAGCAUGGGGAGCGAACAGG
RNAcentral lists this ribosomal RNA (253 nucleotides) under uncultured bacterium. RNAcentral describes it as "partial 16S ribosomal RNA". It matches the Rfam family "Bacterial small subunit ribosomal RNA", at positions 524 to 776 of the family's 1533-position model. The record is from RNAcentral.